UACGGAGGGUGCGAGCGUUGUCCGGAAUCACUGGGCGUAAAGGGCGCGUAGGUGGCCUGGUAAGGGGGCGGUGAAAGCCCGGGGCUCAACCCCGGGUCUGCCGGACCGACUGCUGAGCUAGAGCACACUAGAGGCAAGUGGAAUUCCGGGUGUAGCGGUGGAAUGCGUAGAGAUCCGGAAGAACACCGGUGGCGAAGGCGGCGCACUGGACCAUAACUGACGCUGAGGCGCGAAAGCUAGGGGAGCAAACAGG
RNAcentral lists this ribosomal RNA (253 nucleotides) under uncultured prokaryote. RNAcentral's name for it is "partial 16S ribosomal RNA". It matches the Rfam family "Bacterial small subunit ribosomal RNA", at positions 524 to 776 of the family's 1533-position model. The record is from RNAcentral.